AGUGAACGCUGGCGGCAGGCCUAACACAUGCAAGUCGAACGGCAGCACGGCAGUAGCAAUACUGUGGGUGGCGAGUGGCGGACGGGUGAGGAAUACAUCGGGAUCUACCCUGUUGUGGGGGAUAACGUAGGGAAACUUACGCUAAUACCGCAUAAGAACUGAGGUUGAAAGCGGCGGACCGCAAGGCGUCGCGCGAUUGGAUGAACCGAUGUCCGAUUAGCUAGUUGGCGGGGUAAAGGCCCACCAAGGCGACGAUCGGUAGCUGGUCUGAGAGGACGACCAGCCACACUGGAACUGAGACACGGUCCAGACUCCUACGGGGGGCAGCAGUGGGGAAUAUUGGACAAUGGGCGCAAGCCUGAUCCAGCCAUGCCGCGUGGGUGAAGAAAGGGCCCUUCGGGGUUUGGUUAAAAGGACCCC
RNAcentral lists this ribosomal RNA (420 nucleotides) under uncultured bacterium. Its description in RNAcentral is "bacterial SSU rRNA". It matches the Rfam family "Bacterial small subunit ribosomal RNA", at positions 30 to 458 of the family's 1533-position model. The record is from RNAcentral.